CCCUCCCUUUCAUUUCUUCUUCUAAACCCAUCUCCCUCUCACUCCUCACUCACUCAAAUAGGGUCGAACAAGAAGAAGAAGAAUAUGGUAACCUGCAACUCGAUCGUGCCCUCCGAUGUGCGAUUCUCAGGUAGAAAGCUGACUGGCGUGCGAACCUCUUCCCUCUUGCGUGCAAACCUCUCCCAAGUAUUUCUUAAUGGAAUUGGACUCGAAGGAGAGAGUUGGGUUUAUGUUGGUGUCUUCGACCUUCAAAAUUGGGAUUUGAGAGCACACUGUUUGGGAUUUGUAUGGCUUUAAAAAUAACCGAUGUCUACCACGAGUGUCAAUGACAGCAACCAAAGUGGAUUAAGGUUUAUGAAUGUUAUAUGCAAAUGUCCUUAACCCAAAAAGGGCAUUGGUGUGAAUUUCAGAGUCUAGUUCAAACCCAAACAUGUUGUACUACUGCUGCCCUGAAGCACCAAGAGGAUGUCGAUUAUUCUCAUGAUGUGAACCUAUAGCUGCACCAAGACUUUUGCCA
Molecule: long non-coding RNA, 517 nt
Organism: Macadamia integrifolia
Lineage: Eukaryota; Viridiplantae; Streptophyta; Magnoliopsida; Proteales; Proteaceae
Exons: 3
Source: RefSeq, a predicted model, not a curated record